UUGUCAACUUCAAUUAAAGAC
RNAcentral lists this non-coding RNA (21 nucleotides) under Caenorhabditis elegans. The record is from RNAcentral. Lineage: Eukaryota; Metazoa; Nematoda; Chromadorea; Rhabditida; Rhabditidae.